Molecule: ribosomal RNA, 894 nt
Filed under: Humicola fuscoatra var. fuscoatra
Lineage: Eukaryota; Fungi; Ascomycota; Sordariomycetes; Sordariales; Chaetomiaceae
Description: LSU rRNA
Rfam family: Eukaryotic large subunit ribosomal RNA
Source: RNAcentral
GCAUAUCAAUAAGCGGAGGAAAAGAAACCAACAGGGAUUGCCCUAGUAACGGCGAGUGAAGCGGCAACAGCUCAAAUUUGAAAUCUGGCUUCGGCCCGAGUUGUAAUUUGCAGAGGAAGCUUUGGGCGCGGCACCGACUGAGUCCCCUGGAACGGGGCGCCAUAGAGGGUGAGAGCCCCGUAUAGUCGGACGCUAAGCCUGUGUAAAGCUCCUUCGACGAGUCGAGUAGUUUGGGAAUGCUGCUCAAAAUGGGAGGUAAAUUUCUUCUAAAGCUAAAUACCGGCCAGAGACCGAUAGCGCACAAGUAGAGUGAUCGAAAGAUGAAAAGCACUUUGAAAAGAGGGUUAAAUAGCACGUGAAAUUGUUGAAAGGGAAGCGCUUGUGACCAGACUUGCGCCUGGCUGAUCAUCCGGUGUUCUCACCGGUGCACUCUGCCAGGCUCAGGCCAGCAUCGGUUCUCGCGGGGGGAUAAAGGCCCUGGGAACGUAGCUCCUCCGGGAGUGUUAUAGCCCAGGGUGCAAUGCCCUCGCGGGGACCGAGGUUCGCGCAUCUGCAAGGAUGCUGGCGUAAUGGUCAUCAGCGACCCGUCUUGAAACACGGACCAAGGAGUCAAGGUUUUGCGCGAGUGUUUGGGUGUAAAACCCGCACGCGUAAUGAAAGUGAACGUAGGUGAGAGCUUCGGCGCAUCAUCGACCGAUCCUGAUGUUUUCGGAUGGAUUUGAGUAGGAGCGUUAAGCCUUGGACCCGAAAGAUGGUGAACUAUGCUUGGAUAGGGUGAAGCCAGAGGAAACUCUGGUGGAGGCUCGCAGCGGUUCUGACGUGCAAAUCGAUCGUCAAAUCUGAGCAUGGGGGGCGAAAGACUAAUCGAACCAUCUAGUAGCUGGUUACCGCCGA